This 481-nucleotide ribosomal RNA is filed under the name uncultured bacterium. RNAcentral describes it as "partial 16S ribosomal RNA". It matches the Rfam family "Bacterial small subunit ribosomal RNA", at positions 28 to 507 of the family's 1533-position model. The record is from RNAcentral.
GAUGAACGCUGGCGGCGUGCUUAACACAUGCAAGUCGAACGAAGCACUUUAUUUGAUUUCCUUCGGGACUGAUUAUUUUGUGACUGAGUGGCGGACGGGUGAGUAACGCGUGGGUAACCUGCCUUGUACAGGGGGAUAACAGUUGGAAACGGCUGCUAAUACCGCAUAAGCGCACAGCAUCGCAUGAUGCAGUGUGAAAAACUCCGGUGGUAUAAGAUGGACCCGCGUUGGAUUAGCUAGUUGGUGAGGUAACGGCCCACCAAGGCGACGAUCCAUAGCCGACCUGAGAGGGUGACCGGCCACAUUGGGACUGAGACACGGCCCAAACUCCUAAGGGAGGCAGCAGUGGGGAAUAUUGCACAAUGGGCGAAAGCCUGAUGCAGCGACGCCGCGUGAGCGAAGAAGUAUUUCGGUAUGUAAAGCUCUAUCAGCAGGGAAGAUAAUGACGGUACCUGACGAAGAAGCACCGGCUAAAUACGUG